This 253-nucleotide ribosomal RNA is filed under the name uncultured bacterium. RNAcentral's name for it is "partial 16S ribosomal RNA". It matches the Rfam family "Bacterial small subunit ribosomal RNA", at positions 524 to 776 of the family's 1533-position model. The record is from RNAcentral.
UACAGAGGGUGCGAGCGUUAAUCGGAAUUACUGGGCGUAAAGCGCGCGUAGGCGGUUUUGUCAGUCGGGUGUGAAAUCCCCAGGCUCAACCUGGGAACUGCAUUCGAGACUGCAUAGCUAGAGUAUGGGAGAGGGAAGUGGAAUUUCAGGUGUAGCGGUGAAAUGCGUAGAUAUCUGAAGGAACAUCAGUGGCGAAAGCGACUUCCUGGACCAAUACUGACGCUCAUGUGCGAAAGCGUGGGGAGCAAACAGG